GACGAACGCUGGCGGCGUGCUUAACACAUGCAAGUCGAACGGAAAGGCCCUGCUUUUGUGGGGUGCUCGAGUGGCGAACGGGUGAGUAACACGUGAGUAACCUGCCCUUGACUUUGGGAUAACUUCAGGAAACUGGGGCUAAUACCGGAUAGGAGCUCCUGCUGCAUGGUGGGGGUUGGAAAGUUUCGGCGGUUGGGGAUGGACUCGCGGCUUAUCAGCUUGUUGGUGGGGUAGUGGCUUACCAAGGCUUUGACGGGUAGCCGGCCUGAGAGGGUGACCGGCCACAUUGGGACUGAGAUACGGCCCAGACUCCUACGGGAGGCAGCAGUGGGGAAUAUUGCACAAAGGGCGGAAGCCUGAUGCAGCAACGCCGCGUGCGGGAUGACGGCCUUCGGGUUGUAAACCGCUUUCGCCUGUGACGAAGCGUGAGUGACGGUAAUGGGUAAAGAAGCACCGGCUAACUACGUG
Molecule: ribosomal RNA, 468 nt
Filed under: uncultured bacterium
Lineage: Bacteria
Description: partial 16S ribosomal RNA
Rfam family: Bacterial small subunit ribosomal RNA
Source: RNAcentral